GGAUGCAAAAGGCGGGUUCCUGUGUUGCAUACCCUAUUUCGACGGAAAUUUGUGCCUAUUGUUGUCCCUUUCAACGCGACAUCCUCUUUGGGUGCUCGGUUGGACUAGAUAGUGGGGCUUGUGUUCCUCGAACAUCUCAUUUGAUGGUUCGGAUGGACCACGAGUACUCACUUGCUCUCUCGGAUGCGGAACUUUCUUCAUGGGUGUUGGGGUCAUCGGCCCUUGUUCCCAAUCUCAAGCGUUUAACGCUUUUACUGAAAUGACGCUCUUGCCUUGUCUUUGAUCGCGUGGAGCUCUCGAGCUCCACGACGGAUCAUGCUCGGCGGACGUCGUGAAGGAAUGCUACCUGGUUGAUCCUGCCAGUAGUCAUAUGCUUGUCUCAAAGAUUAAGCCAUGCAUGUGUAAGUA
This 408-nucleotide unclassified non-coding RNA is filed under the name Myrcia amazonica. RNAcentral's name for it is "partial external transcribed spacer". The stretch from base 344 to 408 matches the Rfam family "Eukaryotic small subunit ribosomal RNA", at positions 1 to 65 of the family's 1831-position model. The record is from RNAcentral. Lineage: Eukaryota; Viridiplantae; Streptophyta; Magnoliopsida; Myrtales; Myrtaceae.